CAGAUAUCGUUAGUUUUUGCGAUGGCUUUGCAGUAUAAAACAUGGCUUCGACCAAGAUGUUGCAUAGUUUGACGUAAAUCUGCAACAGUAACUACCAAGAUGCCUGCUCCUUGUGAACCGUGUAAAGAAUCCUGCAAGGGUGGUGCUUGCGCAGACAACUGUGCUUGCAAAGAUAAAGGCUGUGACGACUGCACUUCUAAAGGUGGUUGCUGCUAACCCCAUAACUUCAGCAUGGACUCGGACAGGCGCGGUCGCCGCCCCUCUCUCUUCACCCGCGCCAGCAACUUCUUAGAAACCUGCUUCCCCAUCACGUUCACUGUAGUCUUCUUUGUAACCCUCGUGUUCUUCUACUGUCUAAUAUAAUGUCCUGUUGAAGUUAU
This is a long non-coding RNA of Helicoverpa armigera (cotton bollworm), 380 nucleotides long. RefSeq lists it as uncharacterized. The transcript has 3 exons. The record is from RefSeq and is a predicted model, not a curated record. NCBI's taxonomy places the organism in Eukaryota, Metazoa, Arthropoda, Insecta, Lepidoptera, Noctuidae.